Epinephelus fuscoguttatus (brown-marbled grouper) is the source of this 1400-nucleotide long non-coding RNA. RefSeq lists it as uncharacterized. The record is from RefSeq and is a predicted model, not a curated record. The transcript has 7 exons. Lineage: Eukaryota; Metazoa; Chordata; Actinopteri; Perciformes; Serranidae.
GGAGGAGUUAACAUCUCCUGCUCUGACUGCAGCUGGGACGGACUGCUGUGCGAGGAUUGGGCCGCCUGUGAGUACUUUGAGACGGGGAGGGGCCCACGGUAGCACACGCUGGUCGUUGAGAAGAGUAAGAACGGGAGGGCCAAUUUCAAGUGGAAGGCGUAGAAAUGCUCGGCACUGAUGUGGGUGAGACUACACUGGAAGCAUCAGAGGUUCACAAAAUGCUACAAGAAAGGUGACUUUUCCGUUUUGAUGUGGGACAGAUGGACCUUGAGGAGGACCAAGUAAACACACUGGAAAAUUGUGUAGUUGCCUUUUAUAAAAAUCCGUCUGUAGGCGUACGAAUGGGCUUCUUUGUGCUUGAGUUGUGGGAGAGCUGCAGCGCUACAGAGCAGAGCCCAGCAUCAGCAUUGAUGACUGUCCCCUGCAGUGGUGGUCUGCUCACUCAGGAGCCCUAUGAAAAGCUGUCUGCCCUAGCACGCAAGCAGUGUUGGGUCAUAAUGCUCAGUACUGCAGUUACUCCACCAUGGCAGAGUCCACAAAGGAAAUAAUCAGUGUUGUAACUUUGGACAAGAGGCAGACAGGAUGGUCCUUGGUCAUCAUGGAAAGGGAGGCCUUUAUCCAGACAGUGGAGAAACUUCAUGCCGAGGUUAAACUUGUGGAAUUCUGCACAGAUGCACAUGUCAGGAUUGGAGCCCUAAAGAGUGAGUACUCGUGUAAAUCUUACUGAUAACUGGUUGUACUGUACUAUACUCUAUAAUCCUACGUGUAGUAUCUCACAGUAAUACUGUGGUUCUUUUUCUCUCUUAGACCCAGAGAGAGGAAAAUUUAAAGACUAUGGUAUAAGGCACAGCCUUGACAUGUGGCAGGGUGCCAAGAACCUGGCAAAAAAGAUUGCACAAGUGUUUGCAGUGACUGAGAAUUGUUGUUGUGCCAAAACAUCAAUACUAAUAUUCUCAUGAUCUCCAGGCUGCACUGGUAAAGGGGAAUGGCAUACUCCUCACCUGGUUAAAGGAUAUCAUUAACCAUUUCUGGUGGUGCUGCAAGAAGGCAGACACGGCAGAACAAUUUUUUGCACUAUGGAUUGGAAUUAUACACCAUUGCUGUGGCACUCACACCUGGGCUGUUGGAUCCUGCCAUCAUGAACAUCUGCAAGAAUUCACCCAAAAGGAAACCAUCCAGGAGAACUCUGUGGCACACAAGGCUCUACUGAAUAUCAUUGAGAACAAGAGAUGGCUAAAGGAUGUCCACAAAUAUUUAACGUUCAGGUCGACAGCUGACCUAGAGGCUUUCCAGAGCCACAUUCUAAUGUAUGCCAGCAAGCGCUACGCCUUCUCACUGCCGGUGUAUAAAGCCAGAGUUCUUCUUGCUGCCUUGGAUUACAACUUUAACCUCCGAAGAGC